This 502-nucleotide ribosomal RNA is filed under the name uncultured bacterium. RNAcentral's name for it is "partial 16S ribosomal RNA". It matches the Rfam family "Bacterial small subunit ribosomal RNA", at positions 29 to 523 of the family's 1533-position model. The record is from RNAcentral.
AUUGAACGCUGGCGGCAUGCCUUACACAUGCAAGUCGAACGGCAGCAUGGGUGCUUGCACCUGAUGGCAAGUGGCGAACGGGUGAGUAAUGCACCGGAACGUACCCGGAAGUGGGGGAUAACGUAGCGAAAGUUACGCUAAUACCGCCUAUUCGGUGAGCAGGAAAGCGGGGGAACGCAAGCCCCCGCACUUCCGGAGGGGACGAUGUCGGAUUAGCUAGUUGGCGGGGUAGAGGCCCACCAAGGCAACGAUCCGUAGCGGGUCUGGGAGGAUGAUCCGCCACACUGGGACUGGGACACGGCCCAGACUCCUACGGGAGGCAGCAGUGGGGAAUUUUGGACAAUGGGGGCAACCCUGAUCCAGCCAUGCCGCGUGAGUGAAGAAGGCCUUCGGGUUGUAAAGCUCUUUCGGCCGGGAAGAAAUCGCACAGGUUAAUACCUUGUGUGGAUGACGGUACCGGAAUAAGAAGCACCGGCUAACUACGUGCCAGCCGCCGCCGUAA